CUGUUUCGUUUGUGCCCUGUAG
This 22-nucleotide non-coding RNA is filed under the name Arabidopsis thaliana (thale cress). The record is from RNAcentral. Lineage: Eukaryota; Viridiplantae; Streptophyta; Magnoliopsida; Brassicales; Brassicaceae.